RNAcentral lists this unclassified non-coding RNA (375 nucleotides) under Hevea brasiliensis (rubber tree). Lineage: Eukaryota; Viridiplantae; Streptophyta; Magnoliopsida; Malpighiales; Euphorbiaceae. The record is from RNAcentral.
CGAGAGCUGAGAACAGAGGUUUUUGCUAGGGUUUUUGGCUCUACGUUGAAAUACAAAACAGAGAAAGGAAAUGUCGUCUCUCAUGGCGAUUCGGGGAUCGCCGAGGUUCAAACUGACUCCUUCUUUAUCUUCUUCGCUCUUCAAGGUACGUUCUCUUCUAAACCCUCAGUUCGCUUUCAAUAGCAGCAUCAAUAGGACCUUAAUCCUCUCCAAAACCCUAAGCACCUCUUAUGCUGUUCCUGAUGACUAUCAAAGACCUCCACCCUCUAGUAAUCAGGACGAGAGAAGCCCUAAUGCCCACUGGAACGGGGGGAAUUCUAAUCAGUGGGGCUCGCCACAGGGCCAUAGUAACCCUAAUCAGUGGCCCUCUCAAGG